UGGGGAAUAUUGGACAAUGGGCGAAAGCCUGAUCCAGCCAUGCCGCGUGUGUGAAGAAGGUCUUCGGAUUGUAAAGCACUUUAAGUUGGGAGGAAGGGCAGUUACCUAAUACGUGAUUGUUUUGACGUUACCGACAGAAUAAGCACCGGCUAACUCUGUGCCAGCAGCCGCGGUAAUACAGAGGGCGCAAGCGUUAAUCGGAAUUACUGGGCGUAAAGCGCGCGUAGGUGGUUUGUUAAGUUGGAUGUGAAAUCCCCGUGCUCAACCUGGGAACUGCAUUCAAAACUGACUGUCUAGAGUAUGGUAGAGGGUGGUGGAAUUUCCUGUGUAGCGGUGAAAUGCGUAGAUAUAGGAAGGAACACCAGUGGCGAAGGCGACCACCUGGACUAAUACUGACACUGAGGUGCGAAAGCGUGGGGAGCAAACA
RNAcentral lists this ribosomal RNA (427 nucleotides) under uncultured bacterium. RNAcentral describes it as "partial 16S ribosomal RNA". It matches the Rfam family "Bacterial small subunit ribosomal RNA", at positions 355 to 774 of the family's 1533-position model. The record is from RNAcentral.